GGAGGAAUGGCAGAGCGGUUUAACGCGGCAGUCUUGAAAACUGUUGUAGGUAACACUACCGGGGGUUCGAAUCCCUCUUCCUCCG
This 85-nucleotide transfer RNA is filed under the name Bacteroidota bacterium. Its description in RNAcentral is "Bacteroidetes bacterium tRNA-Ser". It matches the Rfam family "tRNA". Rfam says of the family: Transfer RNA (tRNA) molecules are approximately 80 nucleotides in length. RNAcentral also lists the same sequence under 1 other name. The record is from RNAcentral. Lineage: Bacteria; Pseudomonadati; Bacteroidota.